CCAUCAGCACUAUCACCUUGGUCAACUUCUCCUUCUUCCUUCACCUUCCCCUCGAGGGAAAGUCUCCUUCUCUCACUCUCCUACUAUCAGCUCUUCGUUUUGCUUAAGUAAAUCAGUCCUCUUUUCCUCCAUCACAACCUCUUUGUUGGUAAUUCGUAUCAACAUAGUAGUUUAAUUUUAAUGUUUUUGAGACUUUAAUUGAAAAAACCAACGAUGAGCUGCAUUUUCUAAUGACUUCGUUAAGUAUUAACAAAGUAGUUAAGAUUCUUCUUCAAGAAUUGAAGCUUGUUGAAGUUGUGAAAUAGUUCCUGCAAAAGGAGCCGGUAUGGAGUUCAAGCAAAAGGGCCAGGGCUGAGAUGGGUUUUUCUUUGUGAAGCUCAAGAUUUGUGAUUUUUGGAGUGAGUAUUUUUAUCUUGGUUAAAAUAUGAUAAUAGUUCCAAUAUUUUUUACAAAAUUUGAGAUUUAGUCCAUACUUUAAAAGUUAAAAAUUCGAUCUCUUACUUUUUCAAUUUAAAAAUCUUAUAGUCCUAUGAUUAUCAAUUAAAAUUUGCCAACAUAACAUGUUUACCUCUCAUCAAAUCAUAUGUCACAUCACGAGGGUAGCCUCAUCAACAUGUUAAAUUCACAAAAUUUAAUGAAAAAUACAUGAUUUGAUUUUCUGUUCAUGGAAUCAGAAACAAAAACAAGAUUUGGGUCCUUUUUGAAGCUUUAAAGGUGUGCUUUAUGGGUGGCGGUGCUUCUAAGAGGUGGUUUUUUGUUUGUUAAGGAGGGUUGGGAAAAUGAAAGUUGAAAGCGGAGGGUUUGUCGACCAUUCAAAUACCAAGAUUACUGUGUAGUCAAUUUGAUGGCUGCCGAGUGUAACUAAACUUCGAGGAGUCAAAGUCCAGAGGGGAGUGAUCCAAGAUCUGAGAUUUUUAGCCUGUAACAAUAAUUGGAGUUGGGUUAGAAUUUGGGUUCGUCUGCAUGCCUUGGAUUUUGUUUUGUUGGGCAUUUGUAUACAAUUUAUUUGGACUCCUCCUAGUUUACUAACCCUUUGGAUAGUCUUUACCCAAUUGGGUUUAUUAAUAAACAAAAUUGCA
Molecule: long non-coding RNA, 1079 nt
Filed under: Gossypium barbadense (sea-island cotton)
Lineage: Eukaryota; Viridiplantae; Streptophyta; Magnoliopsida; Malvales; Malvaceae
Description: long non-coding RNA (GBAR_LNC015372)
Source: RNAcentral